CACGCUGAAUUCAGCUAUCAUCACCACUCAGAUACGCCAUUGAUGCUCUGCUCUCUCAGUCUUUCUCUCUUAUGGGAGCAUUGUCAGUUCCCGCCAGACACCAUUUUCAACGUUUAGAAGAAAUAAAGAGUUACUUUCGUUUUCAUUGUUGAGGCUUAGAUUAAACACAGCAAUGGAUUCUCCAAGACGGAAGGAUUCCCCUUCAGGGAAUUACCGUCACCACAAGGAUAGUGGACGUAGUAGAUCUCCUGGACAUCGCCAUCAAGCACGGCGUUCUCGUUCUUAUGAUGAGGAUAGAGACAGAAGGUCACAUCAUGAUAGACGUGACAGAGGUGACAGGGGAGGUGAUAGAGGAGGAGAUCGUUAUCACAGUCGUUCCAGAUCACCAAUGUCAGGCAGAAAACGCCACAACAAUAUGCAUGGUGGCAGUCAUCGGGGUGGAGGAGGAGGUGGAGGAGGUGGUGGUGGAGGAGGUGGAGGUGGAGGUGGUCCACCAGACAAUCCAGAACCCACCCGUUGCCUUGGUGUAUUUGGAAUGGGACUAUACACAACUGAGACAGAAUUGCAGCAUGUGUUUGCCAAAUAUGGUCCCCUUGAGAAAGUACAAGUUGUUAAAGAUGCUAAGACCGGACGUUCACGGGGGUUUGCCUUUGUUUAUUUUGAGAGUCUGGAAGAUGCUAAAUUGGCCAAAGAGCAAUGUACAGGCCUAGAAAUUGACGGUCGGCGCAUUCGUGUGGAUUAUUCAAUUACUCAACGACCUCAUACUCCUACUCCGGGCAUUUAUAUGGGUAGACCCACAAUAACUAGUGGGCGUUAUGACAAAUACGACCGUAAUGAAAGAGGAUACCGUCGGUCACCUUCGCCCUACUAUGAGAAAAAUUACCGUUCCAGCCGUCGAGGUUACGAGCGUUCACGCUCGCGAUCUUAUUCUCCACCAAGACAAAACUCGCGAGAAGUUUUGGAAGAGAGAAGGUUGAAGUUGAUUUGAGUCAAGAACAGAAAAAGGAUAAAGACAGCUCAGAAAACAGAAAAGGAAAAGGCGCAGCUCAGAAAACAGAAAAAUUUUAAGAACGAUUUGCUGUGGAAAGGGGGGAAGAUUUCUCACUGAACGAAGUCUUUACUCUGAAGAGAUCACUUUGAAACUAUCGGCUCAACUGGAGAUCUCGACAAGCUUGCUGCAGUUGAAAUUCAAUUUCAAGAUUCAAAAAAGAAGAUAUAAGUUUUCCUAGGAUGUCAAGUUAUUGGUUUAACGUUCAUUGACAUCCGACUGAAUUGGAAAAAAAUAAUGAUAAUCCAGUAAGUAGGGCUAUAUAAAGGCACUUAUCUGACUGUAUUGGUCUUUUCAUCUCGUGAUGGUGUAGUAUUUGACUGAAUCCACUCACACAGGCUGCUGUUGAAGACCAUUUUAUGUAUUAUUUCUGUUCUUCAAAGGCCUGGCAGCUGGUGAUAAGCCCCAAUACUAGACUGAUCCAUGUCCGUGAAUUCUUGUUGGAUCAAAAUUGAGAAAAAAAUAUAUAGUACACUCGACUGAACCGAGUUCGUCGUACCAUGUGCACCGACCCACGCAGAAAUAAGCCAAUCGGAGGAUCGUCCUUCAACAUCAACAUCGCCUCAUGACCCUGCUCUUUACAUUGAAGCCAGCUGCAUUUAUCGAACCGUGUCGUGACAGUCGAAGCGUGAAAAAGGCAAUAUAUUUAAUAUACUGUCAAAGGUAAAUGACAGUCGCCGUGCACGCGUGAAGGAGUUUGUAUCCGGUAUCCAUCAAUUUAUUACCGUGAAUAAUGAUUGUGGAUUCCACCGGUGGAAACCCGCCACAUGUGUUGAUAUUUACCGUUGUUGAACACGACCGCCACUGACAUCAAUAGCUAAAUUAGAUUAACACGUAUAGCAAAUCUGAAAAGAUCGCAAAUUGGAAGCCGAACGGAAACAGCAAGUAUGUGUUGCAAAGGACUGUCUUGAUUAAAUAAUUCAAAAAGGAUAAUGUGGCAUGCGAUUGUAGGUUCUUGAAGGACGCGCCCAACCGCCUUUAGCUGCCAAUGACGCGAUGUUGCGUUUGUUGGAUGUUACCAGUUCACUGUAAUCAUCUAUGAAAAGAACCAAUAAGGAUCUUCACCUGUUGGUAGUAAAGUGACCCGGGAUUCUGUUUUUCACAAUCAUUAUCGAGCCGAAGUCCUGCCGAGAUGGACAGUGGGAAGAUUGGAGUGUUGCUGAGUCAGCUUGGCCAUGUCGAGCCCCAGCCGAACCUGCGGUAAUUUUCUGGCUCAGCCAAGCCAGCUACGCAGUCGUCGCCGAUUUGCGACUCCUGUGCCGUCCAUUGGCAUACUUUUCUCUCGGCUCUUUCUUUUCCCUCCAGAUCUGUAA
This 2361-nucleotide unclassified non-coding RNA is filed under the name Daphnia pulex (common water flea). RNAcentral describes it as "transformer-2 protein homolog alpha-like, transcript variant X3". Lineage: Eukaryota; Metazoa; Arthropoda; Branchiopoda; Diplostraca; Daphniidae. The record is from RNAcentral.